Hypomesus transpacificus is the source of this 393-nucleotide long non-coding RNA. RefSeq lists it as uncharacterized. NCBI's taxonomy places the organism in Eukaryota, Metazoa, Chordata, Actinopteri, Osmeriformes, Osmeridae. The transcript has 3 exons. The record is from RefSeq and is a predicted model, not a curated record.
AAGAGGAAAAACCACAGUGCAUGAAAGGCAGAAAGCAUCCCCAUUUAAACAGAACUUCUACAGCAACUACACAAAUGUGUAUGAACCAAUUGUAAUUGACAGUGAUUCGGAGUCUGAGGAGUGCAAGGAAUAUAUUUAAGAGGAAAGCACAGAUGGAUUGACCACUGCAAACAUUGUGUCAAAUCUCUCAUCAAAUAUCACAAAAACGUCUUUCAGCAGAUUCAACCUAAAUCGAGCUAAUGUUUGGGACGGAGCGGUCCGGUGUUUAAAACGUGCUUCAUACGACCCAUCUAAUGAAAUGGUCGUAAAAUUCACAAAUGACGAGGGGCAAACAGAAGAAGGAGUGGACACUGGUGGUUCCAGACGUGAAUUUCUAACCCUUUUAAUGGAGUG